Long non-coding RNA from Perca fluviatilis (European perch), 610 nucleotides. RefSeq lists it as uncharacterized. NCBI's taxonomy places the organism in Eukaryota, Metazoa, Chordata, Actinopteri, Perciformes, Percidae. The record is from RefSeq and is a predicted model, not a curated record. The transcript has 3 exons.
UGUGCAGUACCUAGGUAAGGACAACUAGCCACUUAGAUGCAGAGUAGGGCGGGCCCUGAUAGCAUGGUAGUGUGAUCCAAAACAAACUGAUCCGAUCUAGCAUCUAUCUACCGGUAACCAUGGCUUCAGCUCAGCCGUACAUGUUCCAACCAGAGUCUGAUCCCGAAACAGAACCCGAACCAGCUUCACAACCUAGACUGGAGCAAGAUGUUUCAGAGUGGUAAGUUAAUUAAGUAUUUCAGUUUGAAUUCUGCACCGUUUCUAUCACAGUAACAACUUUAUGUCCAUUGACUGUCUGGAGGGUAUCUAACGUUUUUUUUUUUUAUAUUUAGGUGUACUUGUGGAAAUUGCUCGACAAUGUCCACUGAAGUUUAAAACAUCUGUUGCCAAGAAAUACAAAUGGUUGUUAGAAUGCAACAGGUUCCUGUCCCACCUACCUGCAUGGUUUAUCAUCCAGACUUGGAGCCAACCUGUUUGAACCACUACACCCUGCGGAACUUCUACACUAUAUACAGAGCAGACUAUGGACCUUUGAGGCACCUUGCCUAUCUUGGCUUUGUGAACUGGUGCUGGGGCUACUUGGGAAGGACUGUUAGGGUGGUAAUCCCGU